AGUUUGAUCAUGGCUCAGGACGAACGCUGGCGGCGUGCUUAACACAUGCAAGUCGAACGGUGACCCAGGGCUUGCCCUGGUGAUCAGUGGCGAACGGGUGAGUAACACGUGGGCAACCUGCCCCUGACUUCGGGAUAACUCCUCGAAAGAGGAGCUAAUACCGGAUACGACCACUUCGGACAUCCGAUGGUGGUGGAAAGUUCUUCGGUCAGGGAUGGGCCCGCGGCCUAUCAGCUAGUUGGUGGGGUAAUGGCCUACCAAGGCGACGACGGGUAGCCGGCCUGAGAGGGCGACCGGCCACACUGGGACUGAGACACGGCCCAGACUCCUACGGGAGGCAGCAGUGGGGAAUAUUGCGCAAUGGGCGAAAGCCUGACGCAGCGACGCCGCGUGAGGGAUGAAGGCCUUCGGGUUGUAAACCUCUUUCAGCAGGGACGAAGCGAAAGUGACGGUACCUGCAGAAGAAGCACCGGCUAACUACGUG
RNAcentral lists this ribosomal RNA (484 nucleotides) under uncultured bacterium. RNAcentral's name for it is "bacterial SSU rRNA". It matches the Rfam family "Bacterial small subunit ribosomal RNA", at positions 10 to 507 of the family's 1533-position model. The record is from RNAcentral.